This 430-nucleotide ribosomal RNA is filed under the name uncultured bacterium. RNAcentral describes it as "bacterial SSU rRNA". It matches the Rfam family "Bacterial small subunit ribosomal RNA", at positions 29 to 506 of the family's 1533-position model. The record is from RNAcentral.
ACGAACGCUGGCGGCAUGCCUCAUACAUGCAAGUCGAACGCUCGCAAGAGCGUGGCGGAAGGGUGAGUAACGCGUAGGAAUCUGCCCUGGACUGUGGGAUAACCUGAGGAAACUCGGGCUAAUACCGCAUAUUGCCGAGAGGUGAAAGAUUUAUCGGUCCAAGAGGAGCCUGCGUAUGAUUAGCUAGUUGGUAGGGUAAUGGCCUACCAAGGCGACGAUCAUUAACUGGUCUGAGAGGAUGAUCAGUCACAAUGGAACUGAGACACGGUCCAUACUUCUACGGAAGGCAGCAGUAGGGAAUUUUGCGCAAUGGACGAAAGUCUGACGCAGCAAUGCCGCGUGUAGGAAGAAGCAUCUUGGUGUGUAAACUACUGUCGGCGGGGAAAAACAAAAUGAUUGUACCCGCAGAGGAAGCAUCGGCUAACUACGU